Molecule: transfer RNA, 75 nt
Filed under: Candidatus Woesebacteria bacterium RIFCSPHIGHO2_01_FULL_38_26b
Lineage: Bacteria; Candidatus Woeseibacteriota
Also listed under: 1 other name
Description: tRNA-Glu
Rfam family: tRNA
About the family: Transfer RNA (tRNA) molecules are approximately 80 nucleotides in length.
Source: RNAcentral
GGCCCCAUCGUCUAAUGGCUAGGACGCUAGGUUCUCAUCCUAGUAAUUCGGGUUCGAAUCCCGGUGGGGUCACCA